CUACGGGCCGCACCAGUGGGGAAUAUUGCACAAUGGACGAAAGUCUGAUGCAGCAACGCCGCGUGGAGGAUGACACUUUUCGGAGCGUAAACUCCUUUUAUAUAGGAAGAUAAUGACGGUACUAUAUGAAUAAGCACCGGCUAACUCCGUGCCAGCAGCCGCGGUAAUACGGAGGGUGCAAGCGUUACUCGGAAUCACUGGGCGUAAAGAGCGUGUAGGCGGGUUAAUAAGUCAGAAGUGAAAUCCAAUGGCUCAACCAUUGAACUGCUUUUGAAACUGUUAACCUAGAAUAUGGGAGAGGUAGAUGGAAUUUCUGGUGUAGGGGUAAAAUCCGUAGAGAUCAGAAGGAAUACCGAUUGCGAAGGCGAUCUACUGGAACAUUAUUGACGCUGAGACGCGAAAGCGUGGGGAGCAAACAGGAUUAGAUACCCUCGUAGUC
This 439-nucleotide ribosomal RNA is filed under the name uncultured bacterium. RNAcentral describes it as "partial 16S ribosomal RNA". It matches the Rfam family "Bacterial small subunit ribosomal RNA", at positions 339 to 795 of the family's 1533-position model. The record is from RNAcentral.